UGUGCACUUGCGGGGGUCCCUCAGCCCGGAUUGCGAGAGGUCACAGGCCAGGCUGAGGGACCCCACAGUGCAUG
RNAcentral lists this microRNA precursor (74 nucleotides) under Myotis brandtii (Brandt's bat). RNAcentral describes it as "mir-9193 microRNA precursor family". It matches the Rfam family "mir-9193 microRNA precursor family". The record is from Rfam by way of RNAcentral. Lineage: Eukaryota; Metazoa; Chordata; Mammalia; Chiroptera; Vespertilionidae.